GCUAGCCUUAGGACACCUGCGUUACCGUUUGACAGGUGUACCGCCCCAGUCAAACUCACCACCUGCCACUGUCCUCGGGGCGGGUUGCGGCCCGGCGCCACCGCAAGGCAAGUCAGGCGGCCGC
Long non-coding RNA from Nanorana parkeri, 124 nucleotides. RefSeq lists it as uncharacterized. NCBI's taxonomy places the organism in Eukaryota, Metazoa, Chordata, Amphibia, Anura, Dicroglossidae. The transcript is spliced from 3 exons. The record is from RefSeq and is a predicted model, not a curated record.